This 253-nucleotide ribosomal RNA is filed under the name uncultured bacterium. Its description in RNAcentral is "partial 16S ribosomal RNA". It matches the Rfam family "Bacterial small subunit ribosomal RNA", at positions 524 to 776 of the family's 1533-position model. The record is from RNAcentral.
UACGAAGGGGGCAAGCGUUGUUCGGAAUUACUGGGCGUAAAGGGCGCGUAGGCGGCCGAUCAAGUCAGGCGUGAAAUUCCCGGGCUCAACCUGGGGGCUGCGCUUGAUACUGAUUGGCUUGAAUGCGGGAGAGGAUAGUGGAAUUCCCAGUGUAGAGGUGAAAUUCGUAGAUAUCGGGAGGAACGCCGGUGGCGAAAGCGAUCGUCUGGGGUGCAUGUGACGCUGAGGCGCGAAAGCUAGGGGAGCAAACGGG